This 466-nucleotide ribosomal RNA is filed under the name uncultured bacterium. RNAcentral describes it as "bacterial SSU rRNA". It matches the Rfam family "Bacterial small subunit ribosomal RNA", at positions 331 to 794 of the family's 1533-position model. The record is from RNAcentral.
CCAGACUCCUACGGGAGGCAGCAGUGAGGAAUAUUGGUCAAUGGGCGGGAGCCUGAACCAGCCAAGCCGCGUGAAGGAAGAAGGCGCCAGGCGUCGUAAACUUCUUUUGUCGGGGAACAAAGGGCGCCACGCGUGGCGUUGUGAGUGUACCCGAAGAAAAAGCAUCGGCUAACUCCGUGCCAGCAGCCGCGGUAAUACGUAGGAGGCAAGCGUUAUCCGGAAUGACUGGGCGUAAAGGGUGCGUAGGUGGUUUGACAAGUUGGUAGCGUAACUCCGGGGCUCAACCUCGGCACUACUACCAAAACUGUUGGACUUGAGUGCAGGAGGGGCAAAUGGAAUUCCUAGUGUGGCGGUGGAAUGCGUAGAUAUUAGGGGGAACACCAGUGGCGAAGGCGAUUUGCUGGACUGUAACUGACACUGAGGCACGAAAGCGUGGGGAGCAAACAGGAUUAGAUACCCCAGUAUA